UACGAAGGGUGCAACCGUUGCUCGGAAUUAUUGGGCGUAAAGCGCGCGUAGGCGGUUACUUAAGUCGGAUGUGAAAGCCCUCGGCUUAACUGAGGAAGUGCACCCGAAACUGAGUAGCUGGAGUACGAAAGAGGGUCGCGGAAUUCCCGGUGUAGAGGUGAAAUUCGUAGAUAUCGGGAGGAACACCGGUGGCGAAGGCGGCGACCUGGGUCGAGACUGACGCUGAGGCGCGAAAGCGUGGGGAGCAAACAGG
RNAcentral lists this ribosomal RNA (253 nucleotides) under uncultured bacterium. RNAcentral describes it as "partial 16S ribosomal RNA". It matches the Rfam family "Bacterial small subunit ribosomal RNA", at positions 524 to 776 of the family's 1533-position model. The record is from RNAcentral.